GUAGAACUUCCGGCAGCAACUGCAAUUAGGGGUAGUCCAGUGCUAAAUUGUCGCAGCCUUGAAAAUAUUCUGCUUCGUUAUUUCGGGCACUCCACAGAUUCUGUUGCGAAGGCAGCCAUCUUUAGUUCGUCUUUCCUAGAGAGUAGUGUGUGAGCUGCAAAGUUGCUUUACAUCUUUGCCAGCAGCUGAUAAGGGUGGGCCAUAAACCCAAUUUGUGUCCCUUGGGCUGGUGAUUCUGCUGGAAAUCCUGAUCAGCUGCUUAGCUUUUCAGCCGCAACUUUGUUCGUUGAGAAGAUUCUGCUCCAUUUUUUCUGAUUAUGGAUUCUGUUCAGAAGGAAGCCGAAUUUUAAGUCAUCGUUCUAGGAUAGGUAAUAUAUCUUUAUUUCUCAGAAGUUUUCAGUUGGUAUGCAUUUGUUCACUUCACUGAUUUUUUUUUUUGUAUUUCAUAUAGAUAUCUAAUAUGUAGGUUAAUAAUAAAAUAGUUUUAAAAGUCCAAUGCCUAUAUGGUCAAUCUAAAUAUUUCAUUUCUGUAAAUAAAAAUAUAAUUUACUUGAUUGACAGCAACAGCAAAAGCAAAAGAAAAUCAUGGGAUAAAUGUCUAAUUUUUAUUAAAAUGUAUACAUAUCUACGAAUUAUAUCCAAAAUAAUAUAA
This 652-nucleotide long non-coding RNA is filed under the name Homo sapiens (human). RNAcentral describes it as "novel transcript". Lineage: Eukaryota; Metazoa; Chordata; Mammalia; Primates; Hominidae. The record is from RNAcentral.